UGUUACAGUGACCGUUGAUGACCUUCUUAUGGGUCGAUGUCCAAAGAGUCUAACCCCUUUGAAAUGAGCUAAGGGCCUCCUUUUAUAGGCAAAGGGGUCACCUACAGUGCUCGGUGGUAGGUUCACGAGGAGUUACAGUGAACCUAGGGCGGUGCUUAUCCAUCUACCGCUGUUAGGUGCAUUUAAUGCACGUCUUAUCCUUGUCAACGAUGUGCUGGUGAAGACACGUAUCUAGGUGUUUUGACACCUGGACGCUGCGCUGGCGCAUGCGGAAUGCGCUCGCACUUGGGGGGCGGUGGCACUGUGGCAAGGGCGGUUGCCCACUAGUGGCCA
Molecule: long non-coding RNA, 333 nt
Filed under: Hordeum vulgare
Lineage: Eukaryota; Viridiplantae; Streptophyta; Magnoliopsida; Poales; Poaceae
Description: long non-coding RNA (HVUL_LNC009895)
Source: RNAcentral